UCCGGUUUGGCACCGGCAGUCUUCCUAGAGUCCCCGGCAUUACCCGCUGGCAACAUGGAACAGGGGUUGCGCUCGUUGCGCCACUUAAGGCAACACCUCACGGCACGAGCUGACGACGGCCAUGCAACACCUGUGCGGGCUCCCGAAGGAGGACCUGCUUUCGCAGGCCUCACCCCGCAUGUCAAGCCCUGGUAAGGUUCUUCGCGUCGCGUCGAAUUAAGCCACAUGCUCCGCCGCUUGUGCGGGCCCCCGUCAAUUCCUUUGAGUUUCAACCUUGCGGUCGUACUCCCCAGGCGGGGUACUUCCUGCGUUAGCGCCGGCACCCAGAGGGUCGCUCCCCCAGGCACCUAGUACCCAUCGUUUACGGCGUGGACUAC
This 377-nucleotide unclassified non-coding RNA is filed under the name uncultured bacterium. Its description in RNAcentral is "contains 16S-23S intergenic spacer region". The record is from RNAcentral.